This 347-nucleotide ribosomal RNA is filed under the name uncultured bacterium. Its description in RNAcentral is "bacterial SSU rRNA". It matches the Rfam family "Bacterial small subunit ribosomal RNA", at positions 8 to 349 of the family's 1533-position model. The record is from RNAcentral.
AGAGUUUGAUCAUGGCUCAGGACGAACGCUGGCGGCGCGCCUAACACAUGCAAGUCGAACGAGCGAGAGGAGGUUUACUUUCUCAAGCGAGUGGCGAACGGGUGAGUAACGCGUGAGGAACCUGCCUCAAAGAGGGGGACAACAGUUGGAAACGACUGCUAAUACCGCAUAAGCCCACGACCCGGCAUCGGGUAGAGGGAAAGGAGCAAUCCGCUUUGAGAUGGCCUCGCGUCCGAUUAGCUGGUUGGUGAGGUAACGGCCCACCAAGGCGACGAUCGGUAGCCGGACUGAGAGGUUGAACGGCCACGAUUCGGGACUGAGACACGGCCCAGACUCCUACGGGAGCA